Molecule: long non-coding RNA, 351 nt
Organism: Pan troglodytes (chimpanzee)
Lineage: Eukaryota; Metazoa; Chordata; Mammalia; Primates; Hominidae
Exons: 3
Source: RefSeq, a predicted model, not a curated record
GUAUUUAAAGCAAUUUUUAUUUCUUAUUUUCUGCAGAUACAAAUGAAAUCACAAUGACAUCAAUAAUCCUGAAUUUCUUCUUCACACUCACUCAUGAAAAGUCUCCGAUUUUCCCACCUUGCUCAGCCACCUUAAGUGCCUUCCUUCAAGAUAUUUCCUACUGCUUCUAAAGAGGAUCUCCCAUUGGCUUGGGAGCAGCGUGUCCCUUCUAAGAUAAUCAUGAGCAAUUCUGUUUCCUCUUCAGGUGAGAAAACAGAGGCUGAGAGAAGUUGGAAGAAACACAGGAGCAGGGAUCCCACAUUAGACAAUCUGACUCCAGAGAUCAAGACCUUGGCUGCAACACUAUAUGGG